UACGGAGGGUGCAAGCGUUAAUCGGAAUUACUGGGCGUAAAGCGCACGCAGGCGGUCUGUCAAGUCGGAGGUGAAAUCCCCGGGCUCAACCUGGGAACUGCAUACGAUACUGGCAAACUAGAGUCUCGUAGAGGGGGGUAGAAUUCCAGGUGUAGCGGUGAAAUGCAUAGAGAUCUGGAGGAAUACCGGUGGCGAAGGCGGCCCCCUGGACGAAGACUGACGCUCAGGUGCGAAAGCGUGGGGAGCAAACAGG
RNAcentral lists this ribosomal RNA (253 nucleotides) under uncultured bacterium. RNAcentral's name for it is "partial 16S ribosomal RNA". It matches the Rfam family "Bacterial small subunit ribosomal RNA", at positions 524 to 776 of the family's 1533-position model. The record is from RNAcentral.